GUCUUAUUGAUUAUAAUUUUAAGUCUAAUCUGCCCUAUGAUUAAUUAAAUGGCUGCAGUAUUUUAACUGUACAAAGGUAGCAUAAUAAUUAGUUUCUUAAUUAGGAACUGGAAUGAAUGAUUGGACGAGAUAAUAACUGUCUUGGUUUAAAUUUUAGAAUUUUAUUUUUAAGUUAAAAAGCUUAAAUUUUUUUAAAAGACGAGAAGACCCUAUAGAAUUUUAUAUUAAUUAAUUAUUUUAUUUUUGGUUAUUUGAUUUAGAAUUUGUUAAUGGGAUAUUUGAUUGGGGUGAUUGAAAAAUUUAAUUAACUUUUUUUUUAUAUUAACAUUAAUUUAUGAUUAAGUGAUCCAGAUGUUCUGAUUAUAAGAUUAAAUUACCUUAGGGAUAACAGCGUAAUUUUUUUAGAGAGUUCUAAUCGAUAAAAGAGAUUGCGACCUCGAUGUUGGAUUAAAGUUAAUUUUUAAUGUAGGAGUUAAAAUAUUAGGUCUGUUCGACCUUUGAAACUUUACAUGAUCUGAGUU
This 521-nucleotide ribosomal RNA is filed under the name Phacomorphus alexinae. Its description in RNAcentral is "partial 16S ribosomal RNA". It matches the Rfam family "Bacterial large subunit ribosomal RNA", at positions 1830 to 2611 of the family's 2925-position model. The record is from RNAcentral. Lineage: Eukaryota; Metazoa; Arthropoda; Insecta; Coleoptera; Leiodidae.